GGUCUGGGCGCACUUCGGUGACGGUACAGGCC
RNAcentral lists this unclassified non-coding RNA (32 nucleotides) under Human immunodeficiency virus 1. Its description in RNAcentral is "HIV-1 RRE-IIB 32 NUCLEOTIDE RNA from Human immunodeficiency virus 1 (PDB 1G70, chain A)". Lineage: Riboviria; Pararnavirae; Artverviricota; Revtraviricetes; Ortervirales; Retroviridae. The record is from RNAcentral.